Molecule: long non-coding RNA, 11892 nt
Organism: Anopheles funestus (African malaria mosquito)
Lineage: Eukaryota; Metazoa; Arthropoda; Insecta; Diptera; Culicidae
Exons: 2
Source: RefSeq, a predicted model, not a curated record
CGCACGACAAAUGUGUCCAAAAAUAUGCUUAACCUGCGCGUAGCAUAAGUUUCCACCCGGCAGGGGAAAACAGUUGCCAAACGUGUCGCUGCUGGUAGUGUAUAUACUGCCAAAGGAAGCAACCGAGCAAGCCUAUAGACCGUAGACAACAGACACGUUUAUGAAGGAACUUAAUAAUUUACUUCCUAAACUCAACGCCACUCGGCUGACGGUUCCGACAGUGUUUCCCUUCUUCAAAGGAUCUCGUACGGCACUCGGGAAUGUUUGUAUAUCCCAUCCGAUGGGAGUAGAAAACGUGUGUAUGGGAGCGCCUUCAUUGCUGGGCUGCUUUUGCUUGUGGGUGGAAAGGAUGUGGAAGAAACGAACAUAUUUACCCGUUGUCUUUCACGGCUAAUCCUUAACGGUGCAGCAAGAUAGAGGUGACUUUUACGAACCUUACGCUACUCAUGAAGCGAUAGAGACAAUGUUUCUUCGUGCCGCGACGUGAUUUAAAUGCUAAAUGAGAACUCAUCGUUAAGCUGAAGUAUGAGUUUACUCUUCACUCCCCCACAACCGGUAAGGAUGAAAACCGUACAAGCAUCUGCGUGCCCACCUGUAAGAAACGUUCAAGAGCUUUCCUUUGCAAAACAGCACAUGUGCUCUUUAAUAGUAAAAUAAGUUUACUUUUAUUUUAAAAUCAAACGAAACCGAAUGAUCCUUUCCAUAAGGACACAGAUGGGACGCACACAAACAUUCAAUGAGCCGUAGUUAAGGGAUGAUGAAAAUUCCACCCAGCAAUGGCAUGCGCGUGUCCACGUAGUCAACUUCAAGCAACAACAAAAAACACAUGCUGACGUCACAGAGCUUUUGGUUUUCUCUGUCGGAAAACCAAACACAAUACAAGCGUCACACUUCAUCGACGUCAUGAAUUGUUUCGUUUGUACUUCGUACGUCGACGUCAGCAUUUCGUUUGUGUUGGUAAUUUUUCCACCCUUCAUUUGGUGAUUUUUCCUUCCCUUCUUUUGGUAGUGUUUGUGUGUGAACAGUACAAUUACACGCGGAGAGCGAGAGAGAGAGAGCGCGAGAACUUGCUAUUGAAUCAGUAUUUGUAAGCGUUGGUAUGAAGUGUUUGCUCAUCUACCAAACAGACAAUUAUUAAACAAAAAAAUCGUUCCUUCUUCUACGGAAAACCAAAAAUACCAAAAGUAAUCGUCCCUGUUGGUAUGUGUGUGUUUAUAUCAGUUUGUAUGGUUUAUUUUAUUGUGUUUUAAGUGAUUCUCUCCGCAACCACUCGCCGGUUCACGGUCGCUUUAGCGCAAAAGCUUCCGAUUUUUCGCUUCCUGCACGCCAUUUCGCCACGUCGGCAAAAGAUGCGUGAUAAGAAAAUCGGACUAUCUUUACGGUGCUUUUGCUAUUUGAUUUUUGAAAUUUUCUUUUUUUUUUGGUGUUGGAUCCGUUUUUCAGUGGCGUGGGAUAACAAUUAGAGAAGUGUGUAAAGCUUUCGUGAACAUCUGUUAGAUGACGUCAUUGAAAGAGUGUUCUCUCGUAUGUUGUACAAUUUUUUUUUAUUUACCACAUAAAAACAUCUUUUUUUAAUUUUUUGUAAAUGUGGAUGGGUGAUUGUUAAAUGUGUGUGUUUUUUUCGGUUUCUUUUGCUUUUUUGAUGCAUCCGGUCGUUGUGUCGAUUAUUGUAAGUGCCGGAAACGUAUCCCGAUUUACAGCCAAAUGGUUGCCUUCCGUAUAAGUGUUUGGUCUCUGUGUCGAUGACAACGGGACGCAAAAGCUUCAUCCGGGAGGUAUGGUUUUCAAAAGCCUCCCUGAAAGAGGUAUUUCGAUUUGCCGAAAAUGCAUUCUACUUCAAAUGUUGCCAAAAGUGCACAAAUGUGCCAAUCCGGUUGUGAGGAUUGUCCGAACAGGAAAGUAUAUCCUUUUUCGAUACUUGUAUUGCAACGCUCCAAACGUUCGCUAAACGUGCGGGCGGGUAAACAAAUAUGGCCAGAGAAGAAGGUCGCCAUUUGUUGAAACUGGUUUACCAUUUGUAACCUCCCGGAUGUCAUCCACACAUCCAUUUCGAGGAUAUCGCUCACAGUCGAACGCUGUGUUUGCUGAACUGCACCCUACAGCCCGAUUCAAUCCCACUCCAAACUGGGACGGGGAGAGGCUUUUGGAGCGAUUCCGAAGCCGGAAGGUACUCAACAAGCUGGACUUGUUUCCACUCCUCCUCCCUGCCUCUUCUUCUUUUUGUUUCCCCAAAAACCUCCCCCCAACCGUCUAUAUCCCUCUCGAAAAGCUUCAUCAUCGUACAGCAUCAUCAGCGUUUGCAUUGACUUUGCGCGGUUUCGGUUGGCAAAUAUUUGUCGGUGUCCUUCGAGAAUGGACUCCGGAUGAACGUCAUGCCGGGCAUGUGAUAUGCUCGGCACAUACCGUUGUCACCGAGAUCGUUGCAACUCUUUAUCAAAUCCUUGCCGAUUGCCGGGACCGAUGGAGGCGCAUGGGAAUGGACAACAAAAAUAAAGCAAAAAAAAACACAGAAAAAACCGAAACGUUGUACGUAACCGACUCACGAGCUACACAUACAGAUGCUGGGCCGUGCCUGGUUGUUACCGGCAGUGGAGGAGGCACAGACGAAGCAAACGAUGGCAGCUGACUUCUUAAUUUAGUUUGCAACGAGAGUUCCGGGGCAAAAUAGCGGAUGAGUUCGUAGAAAGACUCGACUCAAAUUGCUGUUCCCGGAAUAGGAAUUCAAUUACCUUUUGCCCCAUUGAAACGUAAUCAAUAUGAAAUUUGUUCUUACUUUAUUUGCUUUAAAUGUACCGAUUGCUAACAGAUGGGUUAGCGAUAAUACGAGACCAUUCGAUACAUUUUUAUCUGUUUGCUAUCGUUGAGCGUUUUGUUAACGGCGUUUAAGUUACUCAGAGAAAUUUAUUAAACAAAAUCAAACAAAUUUUAAAAGAACGUUUCUUCGUUGUAUUGCAAUUAAUUGAAUACAGAACAGAGCUGUUUUUCUAUUUACUUUUGUAUAUUUUGUAGCGUUUACUGAUUUAUGAAAAGAUUUUCUUUCGAACUCUCCCCUUAGUUCUGCUUAUGUUUGCAAAAGCAUACAUCGUAAUAGAAUUUUCCGCUCAACGCGUCAUACAUAUCUUCUAUCUGUAUCUUCGCUUAUCCUUCUACCUUUUGCCCUCCAUGUUGCGUGGGGACAGCACGAAAUCAAGCCAAGAACGCCUUAGAAAACCCAUUUCAUCCAAGGAAACGUUAAAAACCAACAAGGCAAAAGCAAACGAAAUUGAACGAAAAGCGGGCAAGUUUUCGAUCCCACAAAACCGCAGUCUUUUGAAGGAUUCCAACCGGAACCGGAACUUCCGGUAGAUCUGCACCGAGCUGCCCCAUUCACAAGGUGGAGAACGUUGCGCUAUAGAGGUUUCAGAGGUUUUCCUGUUUGCAUUUUAUCUUGCUACUAAAAGCCCAGAAAACCGCACACACACACACGUACAUCGCAGACGGAAGAAAAUGCCCGAAACGGCGGUCCAGGGGAAUGGGAAUGUGCCUUUAGUCGUUUUGGGGUUUUUCGUUUUUGUCCCUUCGCGAUCUCUCUCUCUCUCUUUCUCUUCCUAAACACGUCACGAGUGCAGAAAUGGUGCUGCCAAAAUCAGACAACAUUGCGUUUUUGGGGACAGUGUCGGACGGAGUGGCACCGUUGAAAUGAAAUAACCACACGCACACAUACACACAUACCUCUCCACCCGGGGGUGACUAUUGGGGAAGUCUGGAAAAUCCGGAAUGUACGCCGAGCAUGUUUUCGUGGUCGGUGAUAGUUGGUGCGGUUUUUUCGGCAAAGGACAAUCAGCAGCAGCAGGCCUCAGAUGACAACGCCUCGCGUGAUGUUUGCUGGUGAUGCUGACGAUGACGACGAUGAUGAUGGUGACGGUGGUGGCCAAUGAUGACGGUUGGCUGUGGGCGAAUUUCCAGCCAACCAAAAUUUCCUCAGAUCACGGCGGAGAUAACAGUAAUUAAGCUUACGGGCCCACAGCCGCUAGCAUGUAGCGAGAACACAGCAGCACACAGCGCCUUAUCUUGGAACCACAUGGGAUGAUAAUGUUUGCCGAGGAAGAAUUCAUGGUAGAUGAAUGGUUGUAGUAAGUUGAAGGGAAGGAAUGUCAAAGGAACAAGGGACGGGCAAAGGCGACCCUUAUUGCUUGUAGAGCAGUGGGUAAAAACAAAACGAAAAACGAACCGAAAAACCCACUACCCAAAUCGGGCACUAUCUGCUCCAGACGGGAAAGGGCCCUGACACUGGACAUUCCGGAGCCAAGCGAACCGGAAACCCAGGGACCGGUUUCGGAAUCGGCUUAAUUUAACGACAAGAUUUCCCUUUUAAUUUGCACGGUUUCCUGGGUACGGCCUGCCUGGACUCGUGAUCCUGUCCCGGGACACGCUGUAUGAUGUGAUAUUAAGCGCUUUUGUUCCCAGAUUUUGCCGUGCCUACCGUCUUCGAAGCUAACUAUGAAUUAAAAACAGGUCACGGGAUGAGAUUUACUUUCCUUUCAGCUUUUCUGAGGACGUCCGUUUGAUUUCUAAUUUACUUUUGUAAGCGCAGAGUGCAUUUUACCAUGCAUACUGGAAACGGUGGAAGUUAAUUAAAUCGAGUUCACUAUUUUAAUUUGGCUCUUUCAAACACCGCUGUUUAUAAAUAAAUGGAAUGGUAUUUGAUUCAUGUAUUGAAAUUCUUUGAAUGAAAAUACACGCUGCUCUCACUGAAGUACAUCAAACAAAUUUGAAUUUCUUGACCUAUCAAUGGAAAGGUCGUCGGAUGGAAAUGCCCAAUUUAUAUAAUAGUUUUUGAAUAAGUGGAAUGGAUGAAUGGAAUGUUGAUUUAUUUUAAUUAGAAAAAUCUCAUCAUCACCUUCCAAAGAAUUUGUAAAUUUUUGGACAAUUCAAAAAUUAUAUAUUAUGAAUAAAAUAAAAUGCAAAUACAUUCGGUUCUGUGUGCGCACACUGCAUUUUUAGAAGAAAAAAAACCAAUUUCCAUUCUAAAAUUACUCAUUGAAAGUACGAUCUGAAGCAAAUAGUCACGAACAGAAAGGAUCGCAGUUGUAAUCAAAAACACAGCUGGAAUAAAGAAACGGACGAGAAACAGACAUAUAAAAAGACGGCAAUGUAUUGUCGCGUCAUUAGAUAUAGCUGUUGACAGCCAGCGGGCCGAACCGAACGUGACAACCAAUGCCGGAACAGAUCAUCAACCAGCGGAAGCGAAAUAAAAGGGAAUCGACGAAAGACGGCAGCAGGAGAGCGCAAAGCAAUAGAAAUCCGUUUCAAUGCGUGGGAUUAUGCUACAUUGUAGCUGUGCAUCGGUUGCACGGCCGGCGUGACCCGUGUGAAUGCAGCAAACGGGUACCAUCGUAUGCGCUGAACUUGAGAUGAAUGCACUCAAACAUAAGGAACAAGCAGCAACGGCAAAGAUGAAUGCAUGGAAUGCAGAUUGGUGGUGGUGGUAGUUUAGAGAACAUCUUUGCAGCUCGUUGCUCUUUCCAAGUCUUGACUUUCCAGUAUAAUACCACAAAACCCGGUAGCAGUACGCAGUACAAUGCAUCGGAAUGUAUAAUGCAAAUGCCGCAUGUCUCGGCACGCUUGGGUACCGGCGUCAUUAUGUUACCGGAGUUCGACACCCAAUCCGUACUCGGGAUGGAAAUUCUUACACGGUUUCACACCGUUCAAGAAAUGGCCGACGAUGGGCGAAAGGUUCACUAUUAUAUUCUCAAUAUUAUAAUAAUUGAGCAUGUCGUCGGUUGGCAGUGUGGUCGCUUAUCAGGGUACCGCAAUCUUAAAUCUCACAUUUUCGGCUUGUUCGACGUGAUUAAACGGAUGUCACACCAUCGGCACGUACCAGAAAUAACAAUUCCCCGUCAGCCAGUACGUCACCAGUGUCCUACGCGAACGAAUUCUCUCGAUGGUCAUUUACGGUUCAACCGUUCCAGGGUUUUUUUGAGGGUUUCGUGCCGCUAUCGGUAGGUCAAAAUCGGUCACGCUUUAAAAAAGAAACCCCCGGAGGUGGGACGGGUUCAAAGCUAACAGCGGAAGAUUUCCCCUUGGCCGUCAACAACCAUCUGGAAUGGUGAUAAAACCACGAUCGUCAGGUAUGUAUUAUAAUGGUUUGCAACGAGGCAGUAGAAUAAAAGUACCGAGCGUACCGAAACUAGCUGUCAAAAAGGUUGGGUGGCUUUCCCCAUCCACGAACAACCGAUAAGAGGAAGCUAUACGGAUGCUGGUGCGGAUGGUGAGGAGAGGGCAGUAAAUGAGUAACCAGAUGACGUUCCGGAAAGAUGUUCAAAAUUUGAUUCUUCUUGGUGGCAGCUUCAUUUGGCGGGGAAUUUCGCACACUGUGAGAGAUGUGAGAACUGCGUGCUGGGAGCUUUUCUUUUUUUUGUGGUGAAAGCAUCGGAAAGAAUGAACGAGUGAGAGGUUAUGUUGCGUUGAUCUUCAACAACCCGGAAUAUGAACGCACUGCCGGUCGUCGACCACCUCCAACAUCCGCUGAGCCGUACCUCGCCGUACCAGUUGGCUCAAUUUCUUCAGACACAGUUGAGAGUUUGCCGAUCGUUACACUCUCGUACCCUCUCUAGCUUACUAUCAAAACCCGGGAGCGCGCAUGAGCGCUGAUAAAAAAGGCCGUACCGAAAGACGCCCCGUAUUCGCCGUGGCUGACUCUAUACUGCUGCCGUUGAUACGGCAAACUCCUAUCAGUGGAGAACUCCGUAACAUCAUCGGCAUCCUCAUCAUCAUCAUCGUCGUCAGCUUCAACAUAUCUCACACACGCAAAGCCACGGUCGGUGUGCGUGCCGGUUCCGUUGUGACUUCCAGUACAUGCGGUUGUCGUUUUCUGUCACCCAAAAAACAAAACAAAAAAACCUUUGCCCCGAACUCGCGCGCGCACUCACACCGACUGCUCGUGUCUCGGGUCAUCGUGGUGCGUGGUACCCGGUCCCGGAGAGGGAGUCGCAAGAUUCAUUCAUUCGUCACAACGCUACGCAACGUAACGCAUAAGAUAUCGCACCGUACCACGUUCUGUAGAUUGCGUGCUAACGCUUCUAUACCGGUGACUCUGUGUGUGUGUGUGUGGGGACAUAAUUUCGUCGAUAGUGUUUCAUUUGUUUUCGGUUUGUUGUCGAUCGUUUGUUAUUAGUGCAUCGUCACAGGGUCACAGGCUGAAGGAUACUAGAAGUGUACUAGAACCAAGGUCCUCGAACGCAAGUUCUGGAGUGAUGAUGAUAACCAUAUGGUAGAGAAGCUAGUGUGUUUGUGCGUGAAACAGGUGGCAUUUAGUGUAGCGGUGUAAAUCUUCCAGUACUCCUGCUAGUAGUUACGUACAGGUGAUGCAUUUUUGGAGGUUAGAGUACUGACGGCUACUACCACGCAUCAAUACGCAUGAAAGUGGACACCGUACGGUCCAUACGGAAGCGGCACUGAUACCAUAUUGUAUCUGUUUUCGCUCAUUAGUGUCCACAGUGCCCCAUAUGUGGUGAUCGAGUUUAGUGUUAGUAGUGUUUCAAACCAAUGCCAACGUUGUAGCAUAUUGUUCGAUUUUGGUGAAGCUAUUUUGCUUUUUUUCCCCCAUAUCAACUACACACUCCUGCGGUGAUCACACUUGUCACACAUUACAACACUCCGCGAGGGUGUCGAAAGGCCUCCUAUCACGUGGCAUUGGUGGUGCGCGCAUGUUAGUGAGUGUUCAUUCCAUUUGAUUACCAUCCAGAGUCACACUUCAUCAAGCAUUCUAGCGGAAGUAAGCUUCAGCAGUCACGAUUCAGCACGCUCCUAUAUUAUUUUCUUCGCCGAAAGUAACCGGGUAAGAUGAAACGCUUGAGUCGCCUUGGCAGAAAUAAUCCACCAAAAACUGCUCAAAAGUCACUCCAUCGAGAGCUAGCUUCCUAGCAACUUUGGUGGUCGUACGCUACCAGCCCCAAAACGGCAGAUUAACAAUUGAAAGUUAAUGUAGUGUAACAGUGUCCGUGGUGCAAAAAAAGGACACUAAGCGACGAAACCUUUGUCUCUCCGGUCUUACUGUGGUGCCGAUAAUUGCUGAUAAAAUCUCUCCAGCUUUUCCGGCCGGAACGAACGGGUUGUGUCGUUGUGGUGGUACGGCUAUCAACAACCGUCCACGAUGAGCUGUUUGAGGGGCGUUCGUCCGGUGGAUAAACAAAACCUCUUUCCUUUUCCCCUUAAGGGGAAGAUUUAUUCUGCAUCACAAAUUAGCUGCUGCUUUUUUAGCCAAAAAAAAGGUUCCUUGUCGGAAUAUUUAUGCUGCAGCAUGCACAACAGAAUAUUAGCGAAGACAGGAAAACAUGUUGAUAAAUUUAGUAAUGAAACCACGAAUUUAAAAUACCGGAAACUGAAUCAUGCCCGGCAUGUCCUACGCAAAGUCAAUCUGUUGCGGUUUCACUUCAUUUGUUGUUCAAACAGGGAACGUAUUAAAAAUAGACUAAUAAUUCGUAAAACCACAACGCCAAACCACCAAAGCCUGGGCGGCUUUUUAGUUUGGUUAAAAAACGACCUUACUUAGCGGUAGGUACCAAACGAAGGAAACAAAAAAAUAACAUCCCCAACCAGUGUGUGUGCCCGGCAAAGAUGCAAAGUGUGAGAAAAAUACUAAUGAAAAUCUGGCCAUUAUUUUACACCCGAGAGUCAGCUUCAUCUACCUUCUCUUCCUUCCCGGGUGGCCGUACGGGAAUGUUCCGAUUUGGCACGGAAGCGACAGAAACAUCUCGUUCAACUUUCCCCAUCUAUCGCAUGAUCUUUCUAUGCUCUCUAUCUCUCGUUCAUUGUACCUCGCCCGUCCCAAACAGCUUCACCUUCACUUUGUCUAUCAAAUUAUUAAGAUAAAGUUUUGGAAAUUAUAUUUUCCACCCUCGUCCAGCGCUAAUCUCAUUUUUAUCAUAUUUUAUGCAAAAGUUUAUGCGCAACCUUUCCCACGGAAGGCGAACGUACCGUACCCGUGGAACAGCUGGACGAAAAGUGGUUCUUGUGUGAGGACUCUGCCGACAGCCAGAAGCUUGUACGUGUGUGUACGUCUGUUCCUUUCAGGACUAUCGUUACGAUAUGCUGGCUGAUAAGAGAAAAGUGCUUUGAAAGUAUUUUCUGCGGUUUCGUCCGGAUUCUAGCGGCAUGCGGGGAAUCUCGAAAGCAGUUCCAGUUUUGGGCCCGGUGUUAUGCUUCACUUGUAUGUACAGUUGCUGCAAAUUUGUGAAUUUGCUGAUUAAACAAACAAAAAAAGAAACGAGUGACACGUUAAUGAGUAGGAAAUCACGACCCGCAUUGGUCCCGUGCUUCUCCGUGCGAUGAAGCGAACGUGUGGAGACUAUACGCUUAUGUCCCGGGAGCACAUGAAGUAGCAUCUAACGGCAUAUCACAGUCUUUAGACGACAAUCGGUGCGAAUGACAUAUCUUCCAUGGUGGAUGGACUUCAAAAGUCAAGUCCUACGUAAAUUUCUUUGCCCAAACUUACUUACAGCAUGACUCCCUUGGAGUGAACCAGAGCAAACUUAGUACCUCAGUUUAAUGCUGACCUUUCGAGAGCCGUGAGCUAAUAACAGCCACACACCAUCCAAGCAGACACCAAAAACGUCAUCGAAUCUACAGCGAUAACGUGCUCCUCUCGACAAAUAAACCCACAUGCGGCCGGUGGGCUUUUUGAGCUUGGCCGUUGGCCCACGGAUUUCGUUUGAAUUUCUCGGCACGUAGAUCCUCUUAAUUCUAAUUUAGAGAUCUAACAAUUCCAUCCACAAAAAUGAAGAUUACGUUGGAGGAGAACGUGCGCAGCAACAUUCUCCACAUCCCUAUCACCGGGAUGGCCUUCUGCUGGAGUUCUUUGGAGACACACGCCAGAGAAUGAUGGGAAAAUGCCAUCCGUUUGCCCGCUUUUGAUCCUUUCCGUUUGGUAGCGUUGGCCGUAAUUUCCGUUCGCGUACCGACCUGCAAACGCGUCGUACCAGAAGUGCUUGGAAUGGUUCCAUCGCUUGGAAUUUGUCAACCCUUUUCUUCGUUGGGUGUGACCUACGUGGGUCGAAAGGAGGUGCCUGUACUUCCACCGAAGAAACUGACACCAUCCGGCAAGCGUUGAUGGCAGGAAAAUGGAGAGAAGAAUCACCAGUGCAAAAUGGCAGAAGAAUUUAAUGAAAAUUUUCUCAGCUUUCACUCCCAUUCUAUAUGAACGUUUGUUACCGUCCCUCCUUCAAUGCUUUCUACCCACAGUUCCUCCAGACGUUGUACUCGCUUAAGCUCGCCAUAAAAAAAACUUCGCUGCAGAUAAAACGAAUAAUCAUAAAAAAGGACAAUUUUCUCGCCAGCAACUGAAGCAACAACAACAAAGACAAUGAAUAAAAUGCUUCACUCACAAGAAGGAAAAACACACACACACACACUGCAUAUGCGAUUUGUUCUACUCCACGGGGAUGCCGAUUAUGCUGAUGCUUUUUCCCACCGCGGGUACAAAGCUUCAAAACAAAAGGGCUCCAAAAUGACGAAGUGAAGAUAGAGCGAGAGCUAGAGAGAAAGAGAGAAAGAGACAGACGUAAAAGCACUGCCUAUCGAAAGAUUUUAUACGUACCUUCGGCAGAACGAUUGAAUCGCUUUUGUCGGUGAAAUGCGAAGGAAAUCGGGAACAAUGCCGGAACAAUGCCGGAAGUUGGAUCUUUAUUGUAUGGAAUAAAUUUCCUUUUGCUUAUGCCACGACCCGAACAACACACCAUCCCUGUCAUUCGCACCCCAUCAUUGACGUUUUCUUCGGUGACACUUUCCAAGUCACCCGGUCCCUACGUCGCCCGUGCGUAACACCCCGAGGACAAUGAUUCGUCGCCGGGUAUUCGUUCCCAUCUUCAGGUUGUGAAAAGGGGAGAAGAUGGGGAGGGGGGAGAUGUGGAGAAAACGUCCACAAGGAACAAUUCACGCUUGGUGAGAAUCAGUUUUGCUAAACAUAUCCGGUUCAGGGCGAGUUACGGAGGGUUUUGUUGGUAGUUCGGUUUCGGAGAAUUUGUUCCAAAAAUCUCGUCCAAAUUCUCGUCCAAGAAGGGCAUCUGGAAGGCUUUACCAAACAGGAACAAACUGAUGAUAUGGCCCUACAACAACCUAGUCGGGGAACACUAGCGAAGAUAUGCUUCACUUUAUGCAAUGAUUCCCUAUUUCAACCCGCUGCGUGUAUACUUGACGUGGGUUUUGGGGUGGCCAUCCACACGACUAAUCCCGCAACGGCAAACCCACCCCGGCGAAACACGGGAUCCGAUUGUCACCGUUUGCUGUCGGUUCUUUUUUCCUCGCCCGUUUCACCACCGCCUGACUCGUUACACCCUUGGCCCAUGUUGCAAGGUGUCGUCCGGGAUCGUGUAUGUUCCGUGUGCGUGUAUGCUUUUGAUUCGAUUUUCAAAUUUAGCCGGUUUAUUCAUUCUGUACAGCUAGCAAAUUGAGCAGCAGAAAUAAAGUAUUAUACGUAUCGCAUCCCUUUUCCUCCCCUUUUUGGAAAAUCAGUCACCACCAGCAUCUUUUUCCAGCAGGCCAAACAAAAAAAAAAGUUCGGUUUUUGGUUCUCCUUUUUUCAUCCCAAUCCGAGGGAGUGCUUUCUUUAUUGUAGGGGGCGGGGAUCGGCAGCAUGCGUAAAAUUUUAGCUAUCAUGUUUUGCGGAAAAUGUGCUUAAAUGAAGUUUCAAAAUCGAAAUGAACGGAAACCGUUCUUUUUUUUCAUUUAGCUGCAAGGAAUUGUUCUUGUUACGCUUACUUACGCUGAUAAGAUUAUACGCGUACGAAAUUUGAAGUCCUAAAAUAAGGGGAAAGCAAUGGAAACGGGUGGAAAUAAAAGAGGAACCAGUUAAACCGAGAGUGUAUGAAAAGAAUCCUUAGAGGUAGGGCUAAAAACGCACACGUGUUUUUUUUU